Molecule: ribosomal RNA, 253 nt
Filed under: uncultured bacterium
Lineage: Bacteria
Description: partial 16S ribosomal RNA
Rfam family: Bacterial small subunit ribosomal RNA
Source: RNAcentral
UACAUGGGGUGCAAACGUUGCUCGGAAUUAUUGGGCGUAAAGCGCGCGUAGGCGGUUACUUAAGUCGGAUGUGAAAGCCCUCGGCUUAACUGAGGAAGUGCACCCGAAACUGAGUAGCUAGAGUACGAAAGAGGGUCGCGGAAUUCCCGGUGUAGAGGUGAAAUUCGUAGAUAUCGGGAGGAACACCGGUGGCGAAGGCGGCGACCUGGGUCGAGACUGACGCUGAGGCGCGAAAGCUAGGGGAGCAAACAGG